This 65-nucleotide transfer RNA is filed under the name Iragoides fasciata. Its description in RNAcentral is "tRNA-Thr". The record is from RNAcentral. Lineage: Eukaryota; Metazoa; Arthropoda; Insecta; Lepidoptera; Limacodidae.
GUUUUUAUAAUUUAAAAAAAAUAUUGGUCUUGUAAAUCAAACUUAAGAAUAAUUCUUUAAAAACU